This 29-nucleotide non-coding RNA is filed under the name Mus musculus (house mouse). Lineage: Eukaryota; Metazoa; Chordata; Mammalia; Rodentia; Muridae. The record is from RNAcentral.
UGGAAGAGAAGCCCACCCCUAACCUCCAA